UACGUAGGGACCAAGCGUUGUUCGGAUUUAUUGGGCGUAAAGAGCUCGUAGGCGGCUCGGUAAGUCGGGUGUGAAACCUCCAGGCUCAACCUGGAGACGCCACCUGAUACUGCUGUGGCUAGAGUCCGGUAGGGGAGCGUGGAAUUCCUGGUGUAGCGGUGAAAUGCGCAGAUAUCAGGAGGAACACCAGCGGCGAAGGCGGCGCUCUGGGCCGGAACUGACGCUGAGGAGCGAAAGCGUGGGUAGCAAACAGG
This 254-nucleotide ribosomal RNA is filed under the name uncultured bacterium. RNAcentral describes it as "partial 16S ribosomal RNA". It matches the Rfam family "Bacterial small subunit ribosomal RNA", at positions 524 to 776 of the family's 1533-position model. The record is from RNAcentral.